Molecule: long non-coding RNA, 215 nt
Filed under: Ursus maritimus (polar bear)
Lineage: Eukaryota; Metazoa; Chordata; Mammalia; Carnivora; Ursidae
Description: lncRNA (ENSUMAG00000021986.1)
Source: RNAcentral
CACCUCACUUUCCUGGCAGCAACUUGGUGACGUGUGAGAAGCCUGCACUGGGAGGCUUGGCUGUAAUGCAGAGUGACUUCAUCACCUAAAACUUCAGUGUUGUGUCUGCUUAGCCCUUGAGCUAACAACCACCCCACCCCCUAUCUCUGGGAACUGCCCUCUCACCCACACAGAACAUUAUUGAAGAAGGUAGCAAAUAAGAAACGCAGCAGCUG